GAUCCUGGCUCAGGAUGAACGCUAGCGGCAGGCCUAACACAUGCAAGUCGAGGGGCAGCACGGUGUAGCAAUACACUGGUGGCGACCGGCGCACGGGUGCGUAACGCGUAUGCAACCUACCCAUAACAGGGGGGAUAACACUGAGAAAUUGGUACUAAUACCCCAUAACAUCAGGACCGGCAUCGGUUCUGGUUGAAAACUCCGGUGGUUAUGGGAUGGGGCAUGCGUUGUAUUAGCUGGUUGG
This 244-nucleotide ribosomal RNA is filed under the name uncultured bacterium. Its description in RNAcentral is "partial 16S ribosomal RNA". It matches the Rfam family "Bacterial small subunit ribosomal RNA", at positions 15 to 252 of the family's 1533-position model. The record is from RNAcentral.